CAUUAGUGAUGGUGAUGGUGGUGCUUAACCUUGAAAUACAGAGGCAGCAAAACACAUACCUCUAUGGUUUCCAGCAGGGUCUGGAUUUCUCUCUUUGUUUGACAUUUAUACCUGAUGCAGGUAGGUAGAACAAAGGAGAAAAAUGAGCAAUCAGUUUCAGAAUUCUCUAGCAUGUUUUCUAUUUGUUAAACAUUCAUACCUUAAAAAUCACAUUCUUUGUCUUAGCCUUGAGGUGCCAGUUUCAAAAAGAGAAUGUCUAGCAACUCAUCUGGCAUGCAUGUUGGGUAUGUGUCACAAAUACUGAUUAACUAGGUAAGCAAUUGAAAUGUUAAAAAAAUGUUAAAAAAAUGCAGGAUAUUAACAGUCAGCUAUCCUCCUGCUUUAUCAUGGUUUCAGGCUGCCUGAAAUAGACAAGGCCAAGAGCAGCAAGAAGAAAGAAUAAAAGCAUUCCCUAGCUAACGACUGGCAUCUCAUUCUUCAAAGUACCGGUCUGUGACCAGUUAACAGGAGUGGCUGACUGCCCUUAAGUAUUUGAAGCCUGAAGGGGAUAAAAUAGACAACCUGUGAGACACCCUGCCUUAGUGAGGCCUUACAGAUUAAGAUCAAUAAUUUGAUUUGAUUGCAAGAGAAAUGGCCUACUUAUGGGUUACAAGGGUGUAAUUUGUUGUUUGAAGUGGAAUGCUGCCUGUGACAGACUCUAUUUUAUUCAUAGGUUUGGCUACCUUAUGAAGCCAGAUUAAAAUAUCAGUAAUAAGCAAUUUCAGGAGAUUCUUUCUUGGACAUUACUGGUCAUAUGAAAGCCAAUUGAUUAGUCAAUUGUUGUAUAGCUGCAGAUCCUGGGAUCACAGUAUGAUCAGAUUUAGAACCAGAAGAGAUCUCAGAGAUCAUCUGGUACUCCCAGGCAUUUAUCUGGGGCAGAGCUGCUGGGGGUUGGGAGAGGAAGAUAAUAGCUUCUUAUUUUAACUAGUCUUAUUAGCUGGGUGCUAAGUUCAGUUGUCUUUAUGUUGUUGAAAGAUUGCAAGUACUUUAAAUUUCAGUACCCUGAGGCAAAGCCCAGACCACCAAGCCUAGUUUGGGUCUGCCUAGAAGGAGAGCCUGAUGCCCUGUGUAUAGGCUAGAAAAUAGUUUUGCCCAUGUCUUGGACUUUGGAUGCCAGAGAAGAGAAAGAAUGAGUAAAAAGUAAACUGUUAGCUAAUGGGGGCUAAUAGCCCACAAGAGGCAGGGAAAAAGUGGGGAAACAUAAACAUAGUACUUCUAGAGCUUUGCACACCAGGACGAUGCAAACACUAGGCUAUGUCUGCACAAAGAAAGUCUAAGUUUGAGAAAUCAGAUUGUGAAUCUGGUGGAGGGAGAUAGGAUGGUGCAAGUGAGAGAGCCUGCUCUUCGUCAGAGCUGGUAAUUGUCUCCUUCCUUUUCUUCUCUUGAUCUGUGUAGAUAUAAAGGUGGGAAAUGAUCCAUCCUUUCCCACUGUGCCUGAGGACUCCAGGUUAUCCCUGGGCUUACCUUUAACCAAGUGCAAAGAUCAUGUUAACCACAGUAUUUCUGUACUCUGGCAGGGAGUUCUAAUUGCACCUUCAAAAAAUGCAAUUAAUACUUUUCUGACUAAAAAACCCUUUCUGAGACAAAUCUUUCUUUGGUAAUUGCCUUCCUCUCCCCACCCCCUUUUAUGGUUCAAUGCUGUCACUUCAUUUGUACAGGGCACUCUUGCUGAGGAAGUUUUCUCUGUCAACACAGGACUACAACUGUUGUACAAUUUAUAGUACUGAAGAGUUGCCUGGGCCACUGAGAAAUGACUUGCUUGGAGUCACACAACCAGAGGUGGCACAUGAACCCAGGUCCUUCAGACUCUGAGAGUGGGAGGCUUCUUUCAGACCACAGCACAACCCAGUGAGAGUGGGAAUAAACAUCAUUAUGGAUUCAGGUUUUUGAAGCAGCCCUCCCUCAUGUCUACUAGAAAGGGAACUCCUGGCCAGGAAAUUCUUUCCAACAAAUGCAAGUUGGCACCUUCAAGUCUUCAAGAGUUGCCUAGAGAAGUAGUGUCAAGUAGAAAUAGAUCCCUGAU
Molecule: non-coding RNA, 2062 nt
Organism: Phascolarctos cinereus (koala)
Lineage: Eukaryota; Metazoa; Chordata; Mammalia; Diprotodontia; Phascolarctidae
Source: RefSeq, a predicted model, not a curated record